AGUGAACGCUGGCGGUAGGCCUAACACAUGCAAGUCGAACGGCAGCACAGUAAGAGCUUGCUCUUACGGGUGGCGAGUGGCGGACGGGUGAGGAAUACAUCGGAAUCUACUUUUUCGUGGGGGAUAACGUAGGGAAACUUACGCUAAUACCGCAUACGACCUACGGGUGAAAGCAGGGGAUCUUCGGACCUUGCGCGAUUGAAUGAGCCGAUGUCGGAUUAGCUAGUUGGCGGGGUAAAUGCCCACCAAGGCGACGAUCCGUAGCUGGUCUGAGUGGAUGAGCAGCCACACUGGAACUGAGACACGCGCCAGACUCCUAGGGGAGGCAGCAGUGGGGAAUAUUGGACAAUGGGCGCAAGACUGAUCCAGCCGUACCGCGUGGGUGAAGAAGGCCUUCGGGUUGUAAAGCCCUUUUGUUGGGAAAGAAAAGCAGCAGGUUAAUACCCCGCUGUUCUGACGGUACCCAAAGAAUAAGCACCGGCUAACUUCGUG
Molecule: ribosomal RNA, 492 nt
Filed under: uncultured bacterium
Lineage: Bacteria
Description: partial 16S ribosomal RNA
Rfam family: Bacterial small subunit ribosomal RNA
Source: RNAcentral